Molecule: ribosomal RNA, 433 nt
Filed under: uncultured bacterium
Lineage: Bacteria
Description: partial 16S ribosomal RNA
Rfam family: Bacterial small subunit ribosomal RNA
Source: RNAcentral
ACCUCCCUCUUUCUUCAUGCCUAACACAUGCAAGUCGAACGAGACCUUCGGGUCUAGUGGCGCACGGGUGCGUAACGCGUGGGAACCUGCCCUUAGGUUCGGAAUAACUCCCCGAAAGGGGUGCUAAUACCGGAUAAUGUCUUCGGACCAAAGAUUUAUCGCCUUUGGAUGGGCCCGCGUUGGAUUAGCUAGUUGGUAGGGUAAAAGCCUACCAAGGCGGCGAUCCAUAGCUGGUCUGAGAGGAUGAUCAGCCACACUGGGACUGAGACACGGCCCAGACUCCUACGGGAGGCAGCAGUGGGGAAUAUUGGACAAUGGGCGAAAGCCUGAUCCAGCAAUGCCGCGUGAGUGAUGAAGGCCUUAGGGUUGUAAAGCUCUUUUACCCGGGAUGAUAAUGACAGUACCGGGAGAAUAAGCUCCGGCUAACUCCGUG